RNAcentral lists this ribosomal RNA (433 nucleotides) under uncultured bacterium. RNAcentral's name for it is "partial 16S ribosomal RNA". It matches the Rfam family "Bacterial small subunit ribosomal RNA", at positions 29 to 507 of the family's 1533-position model. The record is from RNAcentral.
AACGAACGCUGGCGGCAGGCUUAACACAUGCAAGUCGAGCGCAUCCUUCGGGGUGAGCGGCGGACGGGUGAGUAACGCGUGGGAACGUGCCCUCUUCUACGGAAUAGCCUCGGGAAACUGAGAGUAAUGCCGUAUACGCCCGCAAGGGGAAAGAUUUAUCGGAGGAGGAUCGGCCCGCGUUGGAUUAGGUAGUUGGUGGGGUAACGGCCUACCAAGCCGACGAUCCAUAGCUGGUUUGAGAGGAUGAUCAGCCACACUGGGACUGAGACACGGCCCAGACUCCUACGGGAGGCAGUAGUGGGGAAUCUUGGACAAUGGGGGCAACCCUGAUCCAGCCAUGCCGCGUGAUCGAUGAAGGCCUUAGGGUUGUAAAGAUCUUUCAGCUGGGAAGAUAAUGACGGUACCAGCAGAAGAAGCCCCGGCUAACUCCGUG